GUGACUGCGUACCUUUUGUAUAAUGGGUCAGCGACUUAUAUUCUGUAGCAAGGUUAACCGAAUAGGGGAGCCGGAGGGAAACCGAGUCUUAAUUGGGCGUUAAGUUGCAGGGUAUAGACCCGAAACCCGGUGAUCUAGCCAUGGGCAGGUUGAAGGUUGGGUAACACUAACUGGAGGACCGAACCGACUAAUGUUGAAAAAUUAGCGGAUGACCUGUGGCUGGGGGUGAAAGGCCAAUCAAACCGGGAGAUAGCUGGUUCUCCCCGAAAGCUAUUUAGGUAGCGCCUCGUGAAUUCAUCUCCGGGGGUAGAGCACUGUUUCGGCUAGGGGGCCAUCCCGGCUUACCAACCCGAUGCAAACUGCGAAUACCGGAGAAUGUUAUCACGGGAGACACACGGCGGGUGCUAACGUCCGUCGUGAAGAGGGAAACAACCCAGACCGCCAGCUAAGGUCCCAAAGUCAUGGUUAAGUGGGAAACGAUGUGGGAAGGCCCAGACAGCCAGGAUGUUGGCUUAGAAGCAGCCAUCAUUUAAAGAAAGCGUAAUAGCUCACUGGUCGAGUCGGCCUGCGCGGAAGAUGUAACGGGGCUAAACCAUGCACCGAAGCUGCGGCAGCGACACUGUGUGUUGUUGGGUAGGGGAGCGUUCUGUAAGCCUGUGAAGGUGUGUCGUGAGGCAUGCUGGAGGUAUCAGAAGUGCGAAUGCUGACAUAAGUAACGAUAAAGCGGGUGAAAAGCCCGCUCGCCGGAAGACCAAGGGUUCCUGUCCAACGUUAAUCGGGGCAGGGUGAGUCGACCCCUAAGGCGAGGCCGAAAGGCGUAGUCGAUGGGAAACGGGUUAAUAUUCCCGUACUUGGUGUUACUGCGAAGGGGGGACGGAGAAGGCUAUGUUGGCCGGGCGACGGUUGUCCCGGUUUAAGCGUGUAGGUGUGUGUUCCAGGUAAAUCCGGUUCACUUUAACACUGAGGCGUGACGACGAGGCACUACGGUGCUGAAGCAACAAAUGCCCUGCUUCCAGGAAAAGCCUCUAAGCAUCAGGUAACAUCAAAUCGUACCCCAAACCGACACAGGUGGUCAGGUAGAGAAUACCAAGGCGCUUGAGAGAACUCGGGUGAAGGAACUAGGCAAAAUGGUGCCGUAACUUCGGGAGAAGGCACGCUGACACGUAGGUGAAGUGAUUUACUCAUGGAGCUGAAGUCAGUCGAAGAUACCAGCUGGCUGCAACUGUUUAUUAAAAACACAGCACUGUGCAAACACGAAAGUGGACGUAUACGGUGUGACGCCUGCCCGGUGCCGGAAGGUUAAUUGAUGGGGUCAGCGCAAGCGAAGCUCCUGAUCGAAGCCCCGGUAAACGGCGGCCGUAACUAUAACGGUCCUAAGGUAGCGAAAUUCCUUGUCGGGUAAGUUCCGACCUGCACGAAUGGCGUAAUGAUGGCCAGGCUGUCUCCACCCGAGACUCAGUGAAAUUGAACUCGCUGUGAAGAUGCAGUGUACCCGCGGCAAGACGGAAAGACCCCGUGAACCUUUACUAUAGCUUGACACUGAACAUUGAGCCUUGAUGUGUAGGAUAGGUGGGAGGCUUUGAAGUGUGGACGCCAGUCUGCAUGGAGCCGACCUUGAAAUACCACCCUUUAAUGUUUGAUGUUCUAACGUGGACCCGUUACCCGGGUUGCGGACAGUGUCUGGUGGGUAGUUUGACUGGGGCGGUCUCCUCCUAAAGAGUAACGGAGGAGCACGAAGGUUGGCUAAUCCUGGUCGGACAUCAGGAGGUUAGUGCAAUGGCAUAAGCCAGCUUGACUGCGAGCGUGACGGCGCGAGCAGGUGCGAAAGCAGGUCAUAGUGAUCCGGUGGUUCUGAAUGGAAGGGCCAUCGCUCAACGGAUAAAAGGUACUCCGGGGAUAACAGGCUGAUACCGCCCAAGAGUUCAUAUCGACGGCGGUGUUUGGCACCUCGAUGUCGGCUCAUCACAUCCUGGGGCUGAAGUAGGUCCCAAGGGUAUGGCUGUUCGCCAUUUAAAGUGGUACGCGAGCUGGGUUUAGAACGUCGUGAGACAGUUCGGUCCCUAUCUGCCGUGGGCGCUGGAGAACUGAGGGGGGCUGCUCCUAGUACGAGAGGACCGGAGUGGACGCAUCACUGGUGUUCGGGUUGUCAUGCCAAUGGCACUGCCCGGUAGCUAAAUGCGGAAGAGAUAAGUGCUGAAAGCAUCUAAGCACGAAACUUGCCCCGAGAUGAGUUCUCCCUGAGACUUUAGGUCUCCUGAAGGAACGUUGAAGACGACGACGUUGAUAGGCCGGGUGUGUAAGCGCAGCGAUGCGUUGAGCUAACCGGUACUAAUGAACCGUGAGGCUUAACCUU
Molecule: ribosomal RNA, 2353 nt
Filed under: Salmonella enterica subsp. enterica serovar Enteritidis str. CDC_2010K_1882
Lineage: Bacteria; Pseudomonadati; Pseudomonadota; Gammaproteobacteria; Enterobacterales; Enterobacteriaceae
Also listed under: 1 other name
Description: bacterial LSU rRNA
Rfam family: Bacterial large subunit ribosomal RNA
Source: RNAcentral